UACGAGGGGGGCUAGCGGUGUUCGGAAUUACUGGGCGUAAAGCGCACGUAGGCGGCUCUGUAAGUUGGGGGUGAGAUCCCGAGGCUCAACCUCGGAAUUGCCUUCAAGACUGCAGGGCUUGAGUUCGGGAGAGGUGAGUGGAAUUCCCAGUGUAGAGGUGAAAUUCGUAGAGAUUGGGAAGAACACCAGUGGCGAAGGCGGCUCACUGGCCCGUAACUGACGCUGAGGUGCGAAAGCGUGGGGAGCAAACAGG
This 253-nucleotide ribosomal RNA is filed under the name uncultured bacterium. RNAcentral describes it as "partial 16S ribosomal RNA". It matches the Rfam family "Bacterial small subunit ribosomal RNA", at positions 524 to 776 of the family's 1533-position model. The record is from RNAcentral.